CCUACGGGGGGCAGCAGUGGGGAAUUUUGGACAAUGGGCGCAAGCCUGAUCCAGCCAUUCCGCGUGAGUGAAGAAGGCCUUCGGGUUGUAAAGCUCUUUCGCAAGGGAAGAAAACUUAUCCUCUAACAUAGGAUGAGGUUGACGGUACCUUGAUAAGAAGCACCGGCUAACUACGUGCCAGCAGCCGCGGUAAUCCGUAGGGUGCGAGCGUUAAUCGGAACGACUGGGCGUAAAGUUGUAGCACGCAUGUGAAAUCCCCGAGCUCAACUUGGGAACUGCGUUUGAAACUACAAGACUAGAGUAGGGCAGAGGGGGGUAGAAUUCCACGUGUAGCAGUGAAAUGCGUAGAGAUGUGGAGGAAUAUCAAUGGCGAAGGCAGCCCCCUGGGAUCAUAUUGACGCUCAUGCACGAAAGCGUGGGGAGCAAACAGGAUUAGAUACCCCGGUAGUC
This 450-nucleotide ribosomal RNA is filed under the name uncultured bacterium. RNAcentral's name for it is "partial 16S ribosomal RNA". It matches the Rfam family "Bacterial small subunit ribosomal RNA", at positions 338 to 795 of the family's 1533-position model. The record is from RNAcentral.